Molecule: ribosomal RNA, 234 nt
Filed under: uncultured bacterium
Lineage: Bacteria
Description: partial 16S ribosomal RNA
Rfam family: Bacterial small subunit ribosomal RNA
Source: RNAcentral
CGCACGGGUGAGUAACACGUAUCCAACCUGCCGUCUACUCUUGGACAGCCUUCUGAAAGGAAGAUUAAUACAAGAUGGCAUCAUGAGUCCGCAUGUUCACAUGAUUAAAGGUAUUCCGGUAGACGAUGGGGAUGCGUUCCAUAGAUAGUAGGCGGGGUAACGGCCCACCUAGUCUUCGAUGGAUAGGGGUUCUGAGAGGAAGGUCCCCCACAUUGGAACUGAGACACGGUCCAA